RNAcentral lists this ribosomal RNA (2921 nucleotides) under Staphylococcus aureus. Its description in RNAcentral is "23S ribosomal RNA". It matches the Rfam family "Bacterial large subunit ribosomal RNA". Lineage: Bacteria; Bacillati; Bacillota; Bacilli; Caryophanales; Staphylococcaceae. The record is from RNAcentral.
UUAAGUUAUUAAGGGCGCACGGUGGAUGCCUUGGCACUAGAAGCCGAUGAAGGACGUUACUAACGACGAUAUGCUUUGGGGAGCUGUAAGUAAGCUUUGAUCCAGAGAUUUCCGAAUGGGGAAACCCAGCAUGAGUUAUGUCAUGUUAUCGAUAUGUGAAUACAUAGCAUAUCAGAAGGCACACCCGGAGAACUGAAACAUCUUAGUACCCGGAGGAAGAGAAAGAAAAUUCGAUUCCCUUAGUAGCGGCGAGCGAAACGGGAAGAGCCCAAACCAACAAGCUUGCUUGUUGGGGUUGUAGGACACUCUAUACGGAGUUACAAAGGACGACAUUAGACGAAUCAUCUGGAAAGAUGAAUCAAAGAAGGUAAUAAUCCUGUAGUCGAAAAUGUUGUCUCUCUUGAGUGGAUCCUGAGUACGACGGAGCACGUGAAAUUCCGUCGGAAUCUGGGAGGACCAUCUCCUAAGGCUAAAUACUCUCUAGUGACCGAUAGUGAACCAGUACCGUGAGGGAAAGGUGAAAAGCACCCCGGAAGGGGAGUGAAAUAGAACCUGAAACCGUGUGCUUACAAGUAGUCAGAGCCCGUUAAUGGGUGAUGGCGUGCCUUUUGUAGAAUGAACCGGCGAGUUACGAUUUGAUGCAAGGUUAAGCAGUAAAUGUGGAGCCGUAGCGAAAGCGAGUCUGAAUAGGGCGUUUAGUAUUUGGUCGUAGACCCGAAACCAGGUGAUCUACCCUUGGUCAGGUUGAAGUUCAGGUAACACUGAAUGGAGGACCGAACCGACUUACGUUGAAAAGUGAGCGGAUGAACUGAGGGUAGCGGAGAAAUUCCAAUCGAACCUGGAGAUAGCUGGUUCUCUCCGAAAUAGCUUUAGGGCUAGCCUCAAGUGAUGAUUAUUGGAGGUAGAGCACUGUUUGGACGAGGGGCCCCUCUCGGGUUACCGAAUUCAGACAAACUCCGAAUGCCAAUUAAUUUAACUUGGGAGUCAGAACAUGGGUGAUAAGGUCCGUGUUCGAAAGGGAAACAGCCCAGACCACCAGCUAAGGUCCCAAAAUAUAUGUUAAGUGGAAAAGGAUGUGGCGUUGCCCAGACAACUAGGAUGUUGGCUUAGAAGCAGCCAUCAUUUAAAGAGUGCGUAAUAGCUCACUAGUCGAGUGACACUGCGCCGAAAAUGUACCGGGGCUAAACAUAUUACCGAAGCUGUGGAUUGUCCUUUGGACAAUGGUAGGAGAGCGUUCUAAGGGCGUUGAAGCAUGAUCGUAAGGACAUGUGGAGCGCUUAGAAGUGAGAAUGCCGGUGUGAGUAGCGAAAGACGGGUGAGAAUCCCGUCCACCGAUUGACUAAGGUUUCCAGAGGAAGGCUCGUCCGCUCUGGGUUAGUCGGGUCCUAAGCUGAGGCCGACAGGCGUAGGCGAUGGAUAACAGGUUGAUAUUCCUGUACCACCUAUAAUCGUUUUAAUCGAUGGGGGGACGCAGUAGGAUAGGCGAAGCGUGCGAUUGGAUUGCACGUCUAAGCAGUAAGGCUGAGUAUUAGGCAAAUCCGGUACUCGUUAAGGNUGAGCUGUGAUGGGGAGAAGACAUUGUGUCUUCGAGUCGUUGAUUUCACACUGCCGAGAAAAGCCUCUAGAUAGAAAAUAGGUGCCCGUACCGCAAACCGACACAGGUAGUCAAGAUGAGAAUUCUAAGGUGAGCGAGCGAACUCUCGUUAAGGAACUCGGCAAAAUGACCCCGUAACUUCGGGAGAAGGGGUGCUCUUUAGGGUUAACGCCCAGAAGAGCCGCAGUGAAUAGGCCCAAGCGACUGUUUAUCAAAAACACAGGUCUCUGCUAAACCGUAAGGUGAUGUAUAGGGGCUGACGCCUGCCCGGUGCUGGAAGGUUAAGAGGAGUGGUUAGCUUCUGCGAAGCUACGAAUCGAAGCCCCAGUAAACGGCGGCCGUAACUAUAACGGUCCUAAGGUAGCGAAAUUCCUUGUCGGGUAAGUUCCGACCCGCACGAAAGGCGUAACGAUUUGGGCACUGUCUCAACGAGAGACUCGGUGAAAUCAUAGUACCUGUGAAGAUGCAGGUUACCCGCGACAGGACGGAAAGACCCCGUGGAGCUUUACUGUAGCCUGAUAUUGAAAUUCGGCACAGCUUGUACAGGAUAGGUAGGAGCCUUUGAAACGUGAGCGCUAGCUUACGUGGAGGCGCUGGUGGGAUACUACCCUAGCUGUGUUGGCUUUCUAACCCGCACCACUUAUCGUGGUGGGAGACAGUGUCAGGCGGGCAGUUUGACUGGGGCGGUCGCCUCCUAAAAGGUAACGGAGGCGCUCAAAGGUUCCCUCAGAAUGGUUGGAAAUCAUUCAUAGAGUGUAAAGGCAUAAGGGAGCUUGACUGCGAGACCUACAAGUCGAGCAGGGUCGAAAGACGGACUUAGUGAUCCGGUGGUUCCGCAUGGAAGGGCCAUCGCUCAACGGAUAAAAGCUACCCCGGGGAUAACAGGCUUAUCUCCCCCAAGAGUUCACAUCGACGGGGAGGUUUGGCACCUCGAUGUCGGCUCAUCGCAUCCUGGGGCUGUAGUCGGUCCCAAGGGUUGGGCUGUUCGCCCAUUAAAGCGGUACGCGAGCUGGGUUCAGAACGUCGUGAGACAGUUCGGUCCCUAUCCGUCGUGGGCGUAGGAAAUUUGAGAGGAGCUGUCCUUAGUACGAGAGGACCGGGAUGGACAUACCUCUGGUGUACCAGUUGUCGUGCCAACGGCAUAGCUGGGUAGCUAUGUGUGGACGGGAUAAGUGCUGAAAGCAUCUAAGCAUGAAGCCCCCCUCAAGAUGAGAUUUCCCAACUUCGGUUAUAAGAUCCCUCAAAGAUGAUGAGGUUAAUAGGUUCGAGGUGGAAGCAUGGUGACAUGUGGAGCUGACGAAUACUAAUCGAUCGAAGACUUAAUCAA